GACGAACCGUGCGAACGUUGUUCGGAAUCACUGGGCUUAAAGGGCGCGUAGGCGGCUUGCCAAGUCAGGGGUGAAAUCCAGCAGCUUAACUGUUGAAGUGCCUUUGAUACUGGCGAGCUCGAGGGAGGUAGGGGUCUGUGGAACUUCUGGCGGAGCGGUGAAAUGCGUUGAUAUCAGAAGGAACGCCGGUGGCGAAAGCGACGGACUGGACCUCUUCUGACGCUGAGGCGCGAAAGCUAGGGGAGCAAACGGG
This 253-nucleotide ribosomal RNA is filed under the name uncultured bacterium. RNAcentral's name for it is "partial 16S ribosomal RNA". It matches the Rfam family "Bacterial small subunit ribosomal RNA", at positions 524 to 776 of the family's 1533-position model. The record is from RNAcentral.